GGCUCAUAGCUCAGGGAUAGAGCACUUGGCUUCCGUGCACAAGGUUCUGGGUUCAAUUCCUGGCAUCACCA
This is a non-coding RNA of Podarcis lilfordi (Lilford's wall lizard), 71 nucleotides long. NCBI's taxonomy places the organism in Eukaryota, Metazoa, Chordata, Lepidosauria, Squamata, Lacertidae. The record is from the annotation of a GenBank genome assembly.